This 361-nucleotide ribosomal RNA is filed under the name uncultured bacterium. RNAcentral's name for it is "bacterial SSU rRNA". It matches the Rfam family "Bacterial small subunit ribosomal RNA", at positions 8 to 349 of the family's 1533-position model. The record is from RNAcentral.
AGAGUUUGAUCCUGGCUCAGGAUGAACGCUGGCGGCGUGCCUAACACAUGCAAGUCGAACGAAGCUCCUGCGACAGAUUCCUUCGGGAUGAAGAUGCUUGAGACUUAGUGGCGGACGGGUGAGUAACGCGUGGGUAACCUGCCCUGUACUGGGGGACAACAGUUAGAAAUGACUGCUAAUACCGCAUAAGCCUACAGAGUCGCAUGACUCAGCAGGAAAAAUUCCGGUGGUACAGGAUGGGCCCGCGUCUGAUUAGCUAGUUGGUGAGGUAAUGGCUCACCAAGGCAACGAUCAGUAGCCGGCUUGGAGAGAGUGAACGGCCACAUUGGGACUGAGACACGGCCAAACUCCUACGGGAGCA